AGCGAACGCUGGCGGCAGGCUUAACACAUGCAAGUCGAACGGGCGUAGCAAUACGUCAGUGGCAGACGGGUGAGUAACACGUGGGAACGUACCUCUUGGUUCGGAACAACACAGGGAAACUUGUGCUAAUACCGGAUAAGCCCUUACGGGGAAAGAUUUAUCGCCGAGAGAUCGGCCCGCGUCUGAUUAGCUAGUUGGUAGGGUAAUGGCCUACCAAGGCGACGAUCAGUAGCUGGUCUGAGAGGAUGAUCAGCCACAUUGGGACUGAGACACGGCCCAAACUCCUACGGGAGGCAGCAGUGGGGAAUAUUGGACAAUGGGGGCAACCCUGAUCCAGCCAUGCCGCGUGAGUGAUGAAGGCCCUAGGGUUGUAAAGCUCUUUUGUGCGGGAAGAUAAUGACGGUACCGCAAGAAUAAGCCCCGGCUAACUUCGUGCCAGCAGCCGCGGUAAUACGAAGGGGGCUAGCGUUGCUCGGAAUCACUGGGCGUAAAGGGUGCGUAGGCGGGUCUUUAAGUCAGGGGUGAAAUCCUGGAGCUCAACUCCAGAACUGCCUUUGAUACUGAAGAUCUUGAGUAUGGGAGAGG
Molecule: ribosomal RNA, 585 nt
Filed under: uncultured Bradyrhizobiaceae bacterium
Lineage: Bacteria; Pseudomonadati; Pseudomonadota; Alphaproteobacteria; Hyphomicrobiales; Nitrobacteraceae
Description: bacterial SSU rRNA
Rfam family: Bacterial small subunit ribosomal RNA
Source: RNAcentral